UGACCGCUGGCGGCGUGCCUAAUACAUGCAAGUCGAGCGAACGGACGAGAAGCUUGCUUCUCUGAUGUUAGCGGCGGACGGGUGAGUAACACGUGGAUAACCUACCUAUAAGACUGGGAUAACUUCGGGAAACCGGAGCUAAUACCGGAUAAUAUUUUGAACCGCAUGGUUCAAAAGUGAAAGACGGUCUUGCUGUCACUUAUAGAUGGAUCCGCGCUGCAUUAGCUAGUUGGUAAGGUAACGGCUUACCAAGGCAACGAUGCAUAGCCGACCUGAGAGGGUGAUCAGCCACACUGGAACUGAGACACGGUCCAGACUCCUACGGGAGGCAGCAGUAGGGAAUCUUCCGCAAUGGGCGAAAGCCUGACGGAGCAACGCCGCGUGAGUGAUGAAGGUCUUCGGAUCGUAAAACUCUGUUAUUAGGGAAGAACAUAUGUGUAAGUAACUGUGCACAUCUUGACGGUACCUAAUCAGAAAGCCACGGCUAACUACGUG
Molecule: ribosomal RNA, 495 nt
Filed under: uncultured bacterium
Lineage: Bacteria
Description: partial 16S ribosomal RNA
Rfam family: Bacterial small subunit ribosomal RNA
Source: RNAcentral